GAGAGAUUCUUCUCUCAAAAGCAUCGGUUUCUUGGGUUCCUAAGACCCGAUUUUCUCCAUUUUGUUGAGUUGUUCUUGCCUUUUGAGGCAGAGGAAGGUUUCUUCUCCUCCUUAGGGUAUGGGUUUCUCUCCUCAUUACUGAGUGAGGCUGUAGAUAGUUUUGGUGUUUGGUUUUUGGUUGGUAGGAUGAGCGAUUUAGAGAGGGAUUCAGAGGUUUCCUGCGUUGUGGGUCUGUCGGUGGAAAGAACCAUGGUUAACAUGGCUCUGGUCUUUCUUGACGCUGUUGAGAAUCAAGUUUCGAUGGGAUGAGAAGGCGAUCGACUUAGGAGAGAUUCCAAGGAAGGUGUCUUCAAGGGUUUAGAGUCAGUGCUCUACAAGUCUCUUCCUAGUUUUCCCAGGUUUAGUAAAGCCAUGGCCACUAUUUUCCUCCCUCCUCUAUUGAUGGUGGUUUUUCUAAGCUUGGUGUAUAUGCUGGAGGCAGUAGUGUUUUCUUUGGUUAGCCAAGCUUGCAUGGCUUAGGCAAAAGAAGUCUGAUUUUCAGGUCUUCGGCGACUCUUUCGAUGGUACUCAUAGGUGACCGCACUGCAUUUG
This 591-nucleotide unclassified non-coding RNA is filed under the name Hevea brasiliensis (rubber tree). Lineage: Eukaryota; Viridiplantae; Streptophyta; Magnoliopsida; Malpighiales; Euphorbiaceae. The record is from RNAcentral.